This 94-nucleotide non-coding RNA is filed under the name bovine gut metagenome. RNAcentral's name for it is "THF riboswitch". It matches the Rfam family "THF (Tetrahydrofolate) riboswitch aptamer". Rfam says of the family: THF riboswitch presents a pseudoknot that joins P1-P2 and the loop of P3 and two THF binding. The record is from RNAcentral.
CAGAGUAGAAGAUAAGGCGUUAAGUGCCGUACGGACGGGGAGUUGCCGCGCGGACGAAAAGUUGUCUUGCGGUCUUAUUUUCGCAUCCCGCUGU